GUGGGGAAUCUUGCGCAAUGGGCGAAAGCCUGACGCAGCCAUGCCGCGUGAAUGAUGAAGGUCUUAGGAUUGUAAAAUUCUUUCACCGGGGACGAUAAUGACGGUACCCGGAGAAGAAGCCCCGGCUAACUUCGUGCCAGCAGCCGCGGUAAUACGAAGGGGGCUAGCGUUGCUCGGAAUUACUGGGCGUAAAGGGCGCGUAGGCGGACAGUUUAGUCAGAGGUGAAAGCCCAGGGCUCAACCUUGGAAUUGCCUUUGAUACUGGCUGUCUUGAGUACGGGAGAGGUGAGUGGAACUCCGAGUGUAGAGGUGAAAUUCGUAGAUAUUCGGAAGAACACCAGUGGCGAAGGCGACUCACUGGCCCGUUACUGACGCUGAGGCGCGAAAGCGUGGGGAGCAAACAGGAUUAGAUACCGUGUAGUCC
This 424-nucleotide ribosomal RNA is filed under the name uncultured bacterium. RNAcentral describes it as "partial 16S ribosomal RNA". It matches the Rfam family "Bacterial small subunit ribosomal RNA", at positions 354 to 796 of the family's 1533-position model. The record is from RNAcentral.